This is a long non-coding RNA of Canis lupus familiaris (dog), 575 nucleotides long. RefSeq lists it as uncharacterized. The transcript is spliced from 3 exons. The record is from RefSeq and is a predicted model, not a curated record. NCBI's taxonomy places the organism in Eukaryota, Metazoa, Chordata, Mammalia, Carnivora, Canidae.
AGAUGAGGAAGAGAACAUUCCAUUUGGACUGUCAAGAGAAUCUUUACAGAACAGACUCACCAGUGCCCUGACCACUCCAUCCCUGCAGAAUGAUGCCCACCCACAACCUCACAACUUACAAAGAAGUUUCACAGCUCUCUCAUGGGACACAAAACGGGAUUGUGAGGCUGCAGCGUGCUCCUCCCACUCAUGGCUGAAGCUGCCCUUUGUUCCAGGUCUUCUAAGACUGACUGCUCACUGCCCUCUCCUCCUUCAAUAAUAGGACCUGUUAGUUUUAUCUGGGGAUCUAGUCUCUCAGCUAAAGAUUGUUUGUUCCAGUCUCCCUCAUAGAUAGAUGUGGCCAAGUCUCAGAGUCUGGUCAAUGAACACGUGAGUAGAUGUGCUAUGAGCAACCUCUGGGUGGUGCCUUUACCACAAAGGGAAUCUUCCUUUUCUCCUUUCCCUCUUCCACCUGGCUAGGUCCUCGGACCACAGGAUGGAAGGCACAUGUUGAGGAUGGCUGAGUUAGGAGGUGGAAGGAUCCUAGAUUCCCAACACAAUGGAGUCCCCAGUCUGCCCGUGACUGUGCAUGUUCA